ACAAUGAAAUCCUAUAAAUAGAACCAAAAUUAAUUGGAAACCUACACACAUUUUUCGCCAAUAACAACUUAUUACACACUUAAACUCGAUCAUACCAAAGUUCGACAAAAAAUAUAAUGGCCAACAAGCAAAUCAAAUUAGCAGCGUUUUUCUUCCUCGCAGCAGUGAUGCUACAAAUGGUUUAUGUGGACGCGUGUCAAGGAGUGAAUAUGCCAUGUGCUAUAUCGGCAAACUGUUGUCAAUCACCACUCGAACUUGCAUGCUCAUUUGGAUUUUGCAAAAAUUGCGAGGAGCACGCGUUGCACUCUUGUACCCCUGGUGUACGUGAGUGUUGUCCUCACACAACACUCACGUGUGUUUCCAUUGGCGGAGAUAAGUACCAAUGCAAGCAACUUUGAUCGAACAAGUGUUUUCCGACCACCACAAUGAUGUAUUUCCCGAUCAUGCAUCUUCUGGCAUCACGAUGCACGGCGAUUGAUCGAUCAUUGUAUCAUUUGUAUGUUACUUUGUUUGUUGUUCCGUUUGAUCUGAUUUCGAUACCAUAUUAUGUUUGUUAAGAACUGUUUGAUACUUUGAUGCUUGCUUCCUUACCAUCUACCAGAACUGAGGCUAGUUGGGAAUUGAGAUGUUGUAUACUUGUAUAGUUGUAUACCAACAUCUAUAUAUAUAUAUGAAUAAAUAAUGAUAGACGACUUUUCCUUUGUUUUUGUA
Long non-coding RNA from Spinacia oleracea (spinach), 711 nucleotides. RefSeq lists it as uncharacterized. The transcript has 2 exons. The record is from RefSeq and is a predicted model, not a curated record. Lineage: Eukaryota; Viridiplantae; Streptophyta; Magnoliopsida; Caryophyllales; Amaranthaceae.